This is a long non-coding RNA of Plodia interpunctella (Indianmeal moth), 786 nucleotides long. RefSeq lists it as uncharacterized. The record is from RefSeq and is a predicted model, not a curated record. Lineage: Eukaryota; Metazoa; Arthropoda; Insecta; Lepidoptera; Pyralidae. The transcript has 3 exons.
CCGCUAGGAGUACACAGUAGUUUUGUUCUGUGUUCAUUCCAUAGGUUCAUUCAUAUUUCGAGAAAGAAACGUGCGUGCGUGAGUGAACGUGUUAUACCUACUCCGCGCUGCUGCGGGUUGAUUUUUUAUAGGUAUUAAAAAAUCAACAUUUUAUAGUUCUGGCGGAAAUGCGUUAUUAAAUAGCAGUCAUGGCAUGAAACAGUUAUUGUGGUUUCAUGGCCGACUCUUGCAUCAACUUGUAAACUACACUACUGCUGCUUCAGGAACUGCUUUGUUCAUCCAGAUAUAUCUGGGCUAUAUUUUCAUCUUAGUUUUAUAUCCAUUCAUAAUACUCACUUGUUCACAAGUACAAUAUAUUGCAUAGGUAUUUAUAUUGCAUAUAUUUCAUUAUGAAUUAUUAUUAUUUGUUUUUUACUUCAAGUGUACAUAAUGAUCAUGUUGGUUGAUUUAAAAAAAAAAAAUAGGGAAAAAUAUAGCAAAUCAGAUUUGUGUUGCAUGGAUUUUCAGGAGUGACAGUUGUUUGUAGCUUUGAGUAUUAUAAUAUUAAGAAACUUAAAAUUGGAUGUGAGGAAGUCUCUGUGAAGGUCUAAUUUCUUAAUAAGUUGAAUAUUUCUGAAUAGUUGGAAAAAAUAGUUAAUAAUAACUUUUAGUAUAUUUAACUUACAGGUUGACAUUCUUACUUAUAUUACUUACUUUACUAUUUUUAUAUAAAUAUGAAAAACUAGUUGUGUACUGUGUAAAGGUAACAUCGAAAGUAGAUUCAAUAAAAGAUCAUUUUGUAAUUAA